Molecule: ribosomal RNA, 301 nt
Filed under: uncultured bacterium
Lineage: Bacteria
Description: partial 16S ribosomal RNA
Rfam family: Bacterial small subunit ribosomal RNA
Source: RNAcentral
CAGCAGCCACGGUAAUACGUAGGUGGCAAGCGUUGUCCGGAAUUAUUGGGCGUAAAGCGCGCGCAGGCGGACAGGUCAGUCUGUCUUAAAAGUUCGGGGCUUAACCCCGUGAUGGGAUGGAAACUGCCAAUCUAGAGUAUCGGAGAGGAAAGUGGAAUUCCUAGUGUAGCGGUGAAAUGCGUAGAUAUUAGGAAGAACACCAGUGGCGAAGGCGACUUUCUGGACGAAAACUGACGCUGAGGCGCGAAAGCCAGGGGAGCGAACGGGAUUAGAUACCCCUGUAGUCCCUGUCUCUUAUACA